RNAcentral lists this ribosomal RNA (561 nucleotides) under uncultured bacterium. Its description in RNAcentral is "bacterial SSU rRNA". It matches the Rfam family "Bacterial small subunit ribosomal RNA", at positions 338 to 916 of the family's 1533-position model. The record is from RNAcentral.
CCUACGGGAGGCAGCAGUGGGGAAUAUUGGACAAUGGGCGAAAGCCUGAUCCAGCAAUGCCGCGUGAGUGGUGAAGGCCUUAGGGUUGUAAAGCUCUUUUACCAGGGAUGAUAAUGACAGUACCUGGAGAAUAAGCUCCGGCUAACUCCGUGCCAGCAGCCGCGGUAAUACGGAGGGAGCUAGCGUUGUUCGGAAUUACUGGGCGUAAAGCGUACGUAGGCGGUUAUUCAAGUCAGAGGUGAAAGCCCGGGGCUCAACCCCGGAACGGCCUUUGAAACUAGAUAGCUAGAAUCUUGGAGAGGUUAGUGGAAUUCCGAGUGUAGAGGUGAAAUUCGUAGAUAUUCGGAAGAACACCAGUGGCGAAGGCGACUAACUGGACAAGUAUUGACGCUGAGGUACGAAAGCGUGGGGAGCAAACAGGAUUAGAUACCCUGGUAGUCCACGCCGUAAACGAUGAUAACUAGCUGUUCGGGCACUUGGUGCUUGAGUGGCGCAGCUAACGCAUUAAGUUAUCCGCCUGGGGAGUACGGUCGCAAGNUUAAAACUCAAAUGAAUUGACGG